UCAUUUCUCUUGGCCGGCCAAAGGAAGAAAAGGGAAGAAAAGAAGAAGAACAAAAACCUAGCUAAGCAUUUCAAGAGAAAUUGACAAAAUUUCAAAGAAUCAAGUGACAAAAGGUAAGAUUUUUCAAUUCUAGCUUGUGAUCUACCUUUCCUAUGCAUUCUUUUUCAUUUUCCAUGGUUGAGAAUCAAGUUUGCAUGAGGAUACCUUUGCUGGCCGGACAUGGGGGGAGGAGUUUUGAACUUGGAUUUGGUUAGAUUUCAAUAGAUUCUAGUGUUUUUAGUUAGUUAGUGAUGUGUAGUAUGAAAAGCAAACAAGAAAAGUUCAUUUUCUUCCAUCACCCUCCAUUGGCCGAAUCUUCCCUAUGGUGUGUUAAUAGUGGACUUGAUUUUAUUUCAAGUGAUUUGGUUAGGAAUUAAUGAUUUAUGGUGUAAAAAAUCAAGUGGGAAAAACCAUAGUGUUCAUGCACCCACCAUGGCCGAAAUUCCCAAGAAGAAAUGUGAAGAUGAUCUUGCCAAAUUUUAUGUUACUUGACUUGAGUUUGAUGAUAUGGAGUAUUGGGAGAGAAAUGGAGUUAUUUGGAGUUAAAUUGGACAUAUUGGCCAAUUAAUCGGGUGAUAGAUCGAAUUAGGGUAAUACCGUUUUAUUUAAGUACACAAUUGAAUUUAUGUAGAACACUGUGUUUAGACGAUGAUCCAAACAAUUUGCAUUCCAUUUCAUGCAUUAGUAUAGAGCCUGAAUUAGUUUUAUAACAGUUUAGUACAAAUGUAGUAAAUGGCUUAUUGUGCAUUAUGUCUAGGUGGUGAACUUUCUGGCAAAAGUAAAGAGAUAGUACCCCGAGGAUCAAGAAUCGGAGUACUCGAAACUCGAUUUCCAUUACAGUGAGUAACCUUAUCAUCAUCUUGAUUAUCUGAAGUGAAUUUUAAUUCGUUUUUGUGAUUUUAUGGAAAAUGAGUUUAAAUGGUAAAUUUUUAUGUUUUAUAAGCUAAAUGUGAUUAAAUGAAAUGAUUUUAUAAAAUUGUCUUGAAAUUGAAUGAUGAUUUUGAAAAUGGAGUAAUUGGAGACUACUUGUUGUAUUGUAAAUUAUGUUUUGAAUUGAAUUGUAAAACUCGACCCUAUAAACACAUGUCAUGACAUACAUGCACUAAGUAACAUGUUAUUACGCUAGGAAAGUUCCUAAGAAUAGACGAAACCCGAUAUUGUACCUAACGGUACACUUGAGUUGAUUUAACCUCGAACUAGUUCAAAUAGGAAUCGUAGGAUGAAAUUUAAUAUUUUACAGUCCAGGAAUGACUAAAAAUGAUUGUUCGAAGUUCGAGGGUUCAUUUGGGGAAAAAUUUUAAAUUUUGAUGUUUAAGGGCAAAAUCGUCAUUUUUCCAUCUACGAAAAUAAUUUGAUCAUGGAAUGAAAUUUUUGACCAAGAUUAACUAUUUGGAGUAUAAUUUAAUGAUAGGAAGUGAAAAUUUUCAAUUUCGGCAAUUUUCGAAACAUAGGGGCAAAAUUGUAAUUUUAUCACCCCAGGGUAAAAACCGUAAUUUUUACCACCCAAAACUUGUCAAAAUCAUAGGAUUUACUUAUUUUUGGUAUGAAUAACUAUGGUAUGUUAAGUGGUGAAAAAUUGAAGUUUAAAGGAUGAAAUUUUAAAAAUGGGCCAAUGGAAAAGUGACACAUGGUACUUUUUAAUUGUUUAAUAUUAUUUUAAUGAAAAGUCAGCCCAUUUAAACCCCAUAUUAAGUGAUGGCCAGCCAUAAGGAGAGAACAAGAGGGAAAAUAGAGAGGAAAGGAAGAAAAGAGGAAAACCAAAGGAAAACUGAAAAAUUCAAAGGGGAAAUCGCGUUUUUCGACCGUUUACGCGUCUAACGGUAAGAUUUUUUGACUUUAGCUUGAUUUCUACCUUUCUUAUGCCUUUGUUUUCAUUUAGCAUGCUUGAGGAGAGAGAUCAAAAAGUGAUAUCAAGGGCUGGACGAAAUUCAAGGGGGAGGAAUUUGAAAUUUUUAUGUUUUGAUUUUUAGUUAAAUUGAUAGUUUUAGUUAGUUAAAUGUGUAUAGAAAUCAAAUUGGACAAGAAAGCAUGAAAUUUUCACAAUACCCACCCUUGGCUGAAUGUUCAAUGAUGUACAAUGAUGAUGAACUGAUUUUUAUUCUAAGAGAAAUGAAGAGAAAAUGAUGAAAAAUGGUUAAAUGUGAUAGAAAAACAAAGUAGAAGAUUUACCGAAUUAAUGUCCCAUUUUUGGCCGAAUUUUUCAAGGAAGAAAGUGAGCUGAUUUUGGUGAUUUUAGUGAGUUAUUGGCUGAUAUUUAAUGGUUAGAAAUGUUGGAAAGAAAAUGGGACAAUUUAGAGCUAAAAUGGAGCGCGUUAGCAAUUUAUCGGGUAAAGUGUCAAAUAUAGGUUAAUAUUGCGUUUAAGCCGUUUUAGGCUAUUGCAUUUCAUACCAUGCAUUAGUAUAGGAUUUAAGUCAAUUAUAUAGUGAUUUAGCAUCAAUGUGGUGAAUUGGGUAAAUUUUGUAAUGUGUUUAGGAGGAGAGCUUUCCGGUAAAGGCAAGAAAGUCGUACCCGAUGAACAGUGAUCGGGGCACCUAGAAAGCAUUUAAUUUGUACAAAUGGUGAGUAAGCCUAUUAUUAUUGUAAAUUAUCUAGAGUUUAUUUUUAAAUGAUCUUUAUGUAUUUUAUGAAACGAAAAUGAGAUUAAAAUGGGAUUUUUGAUGUUUUAGAAAUAAAUGUGACAAAUAAAUAUAUUGUCUUGAUUUUCUGAAAUAAGAAACUUUUGAUUAUAAAAUUGAGUAAUUGGAGGCUGCCAAUUGUCUUGAAAAAUAUAUUUUCCUAUGAAUGGCUUAUGAUAUAUGAGUAUAUGUGACUAUAUUUUAUAAUUGCAUUGGGAAUUUAUGUAAGCUGUCCUUUAUUAUGCAGACUGAGUAAAUAAAUAAAAGUUAGGUUAUAUUGUCGAAAUUUUAUUAAAAUUGGUGGGUUUAGUCACUGUAGUGGCUGGUUUUCGUGGACUACCUAUUAGAAUGGCACGAUAAACCCGGUUAUAUAGUUACUUCGGUUGUAAAGGCGAGGAGGGUAACUCCUAGGGUAGUAUUAGAGCUCACUUCACGUCGAACCCCCACGUGAAUGUGUAACUCGGUCAACGCCAAGGAACGACUUGUUUUCAAAACUAACAUGUUUUUAACAUGUAAAUAUCUUAACAACCUUGGCAGACUCUGUUAGAUGCCUCGGUCAAGGUAUCCCCGAGGACUAGUUUUGGCUUGAGCCCUGUUUUAAUAAAAGUUAUAAGCCUUAACAAUUGUUUUGGUAAAUUACAAAUAUUUUAUGGUUUAAGAAAUAAAUUGAAAAACCUUAUGAAAUGGUUUGUAAUUUGUUGUUUAAAGUUGCCUCCAUAUUACUCGCCUUUAGAUAUUUAUGAUAAUGUCUGUUUACUCAUUGGGAUUGUGAAAUCUCACCCACCUCCUUUUCAAGUAUUUCAGGCCUGUGGUAGCUUGUAGAUACCAAUUUUGUCAAGGAUUCCAAUUAACCCCUCUAUCACACGGACAGUAGGUUACUAUCACCAACACUUGGUGUAUUUAUGGGCCACUUGUAAUUGUAAAUAUUAUUGUAUAUUAUAACUUUGUAAAUUAUUGUAUGUAUGAAUUUAUUUUACUUUUAAGUUACAAAAGAUUACUUACAUGUGUUUCUAUAAAUAUUGUUUUAUAUAAAAAUGCUAUAUUUUUGUCUUUUGAUUUACUUGAGCCGAAAACGACUGAAAAUUGUUUAAAACUGAUAUAUAAGCCUUACGAGGUUUCGAUUGGUAUUCCAGGUAAUGAGUAUCAAUCGGGACGUCGCGACGGUUAUCAUGGGCUCGAGGGAGGUUCUGGGUCGUGACAUGAAUGGCUUAUGAUAAUGUGGGCAUGAAUGGCUAGAUGGAUAUUUGUGUUGAAAAUGCAUAAACUGUUGUUUGCCUUGAUAGGCUGGAUAAUGAUAAAAUUGCCAUGUCAUGCUGUUGAAUUUUAUUGAAUUGGUGGGUUAUAGAGUGGUCACUGCAGUGGCGGGUUCUGUGGACUAGCCUAUUAGAGGGGCACAAAAUCUGGGUAUAUUCUUAUCUCGAUCGGAGAGGCGCGUAGGGUAACUCCUGAGGUAAAACUUUAGAGUUCACUUCACGCCAAACCACCAUGUGAGGGUGAACUCAGCCAAUGCCAAGGAACGGCUAUGUUUUCAAAAUAAAAACAUAAUUUAUGCGUACAUGACUUUUUAACAGCCUUGACAGACUCAGUUGGGAUAGCCCCAGGCUAAGGUAUCCCUGACAACUGAGUAUGAGAAUGAUUUUGGCAUGAGCCAAGCUUUUCAAGAAAUCAUAAGCCUCGUUGUUUAUUUGGGUGAAAUGAAUAUAUUUUAUCUUAUUAAAAUGAGUUCGAAAUGCUAUGAAUCAUUUUUAUGCUAAUAUAUUUUAUCUGUCUCCAUUUACUCAACUUUAGAUAUUUUAGAUGGUAUUUGUUUACUCAUUGGGAUUAUAUAAUCUCACCACCCUCCUUUCCACCCAUUUCAGGCUCAGGAUAGUCGAUAGAUAUCUCAUUUCGUUGAGGGCUAUAGUUGGACUUGCAUCCUCAAAAACUGUAGGUUCACAGCCUUCAUUACUUUUAGUCAUUCGAGGGCCCACAUGUCAUUGUUAAAUGCUUUGAAUACCUGGCUGCGUGUGCUACUGU
Molecule: long non-coding RNA, 4671 nt
Filed under: Theobroma cacao (cacao)
Lineage: Eukaryota; Viridiplantae; Streptophyta; Magnoliopsida; Malvales; Malvaceae
Description: long non-coding RNA (TCAC_LNC005997)
Source: RNAcentral